Non-coding RNA from Prunus avium (sweet cherry), 528 nucleotides. The record is from RefSeq and is a predicted model, not a curated record. Lineage: Eukaryota; Viridiplantae; Streptophyta; Magnoliopsida; Rosales; Rosaceae.
AUGGAGUACAAGAAGUAUACAUUAACUUACGCUUGCUUGUCUGUGAUUCUUAAUCCAGCAGCCAUGUAUUCAGCAGGCACAGGAUUACCACUCUUUCACACUGCCGUCACCAAUAUACAGCGAACUGGGAAGCGUCGUCCCUCAUGUUGAUGUCUAUAAUAAUGAAUGGCAAUCUACAUAUGCUAAUUUUGAAAAUCAAACUACAAAUGAAAGGAUUUCGGAGGAAUGUCCUCAGCCAAAAGAGAAUCUGAGAUCAAUCUUAUCUGCAUCUCAGCUAGCGGAUUACACAUCGCAGCUGCUAAUGAACACAGAAGAAUGUCAAAUGAGGCCUUGUGAAAUAGGCAUAGAAGGGGCAGCUGGGAUGAAUUGGGAGGACUCAUUCUUUCAUUUUCCCUGAAGCUGUAGAUCGAAGUCCUCUAGCCUUAGAGCAAUGCUUUUGUUCUGCAGUUGCUAUUCUGGAAUUGGCGCAUUGUAAGAGCUGCUCUACAUGACUGCUGGAAUCUCAGUCUAUGCAUAUGUAUUAGUAUU